RNA transcript from Tarenaya hassleriana, 2662 nucleotides. It is a transcript of the gene named hydroxyproline O-galactosyltransferase GALT2-like, with no coding region annotated. The record is from RefSeq and is a predicted model, not a curated record. The transcript is spliced from 8 exons. NCBI's taxonomy places the organism in Eukaryota, Viridiplantae, Streptophyta, Magnoliopsida, Brassicales, Cleomaceae.
AUGAAAAGGGUAAAAAGCGAAUCUUUUAGCUCUAGGAGGUUCAAGUUAUCGCAUUUCUUGCUGGGUUUAGCAGGAUUUUACUUGAUCUUUUUAGCAUUAAAGUUCCCGCAUCUCGUCAAUAUGGUCGCUACUUUGAGUGGGGAUACUGAAUUGGAUGGGAAAGUGAUGGAUAUGGACAAUGCAGAUCUAAGCAGGCCAUUGGUUCGUUCUUUCCAUCGUGGAUUAGAUGAUGAAGAGAACUUUAAUGGGCCUUCUAUGCCAGUGGCAGAUGAGAAAAGCACAUCAAAACGUGUAAAUCCACCCGAGUUUCGAUAUGGCCGAAUAACGGGAGAGAUUAUGAGACAUAGGAAUAGAACCCUUCACAUGUCACCGAUCGAGAGAAUGGCGGAUGAGGCAUGGACGUUGGGAUCCAAGGCUUGGGAAGAUGUGGAUAAGUUUGAUGUAUCGGACAUUGAAGAGAGUUCCUUGUCUGAAGGUAAUGACAAAUCUUGCCCUUCUUACAUCUCGAUGACUGGACAGGAAUUGGACAAGACCGAGGGGAUCAUGUUUCUCCCAUGUGGUCUUACUGCAAGUUCUUCUAUUACAAUUAUCGGUACCCCACAGUAUGCACAUAAAGAAUCUCUGCCCCAGGUUUCGAGAUUGAAAAGAGGAGAUGGAACUGUUAUGGUUUCACAGUUUAUGGUUGAGCUGCAAGGGCUGAACAUCGUGGAUGGGGAGGAUCCCCCUAAGAUAUUCCAUCUGAAUCCUAGAAUAGGAGGAGACUGGAGUCAUAAACCCGUCAUCGAACACAAUACAUGCUAUAGGAUGCAAUGGGGGGCGGCUCAAAGAUGUGAUGGUAUCCCAUCCAAGAAUGAUGUCGACAUGCUUGUUGACGGAUACCAAAGAUGUGAAAAAUGGAUGAGGAAUGACAUGGUAGACUCGAAAGAAUCCAAGACAAAUUCUUGGUUCAAGCGGUUUAUAGGCCGAGAACAGAAACCGGAAGUCACUUGGUCAUUCCCUUUCUCAGAAGGUAGGCUUUUUGUCCUGACCUUGCGAGCUGGAAUUGAUGGAUUCCAUAUAAAUGUCGGAGGGAGGCAUGUGUCAUCAUUCCCUUAUCGACUGGGAUUCACCCUCGAAGAUGCCACAGGGCUGGCCAUUAAAGGAGAUGUAGAUGUUCAUUCUGCUUAUGCUACUUCUCUUCCGACAUCUCAUCCAAGUUUCUCUCCUCAUAAAGCAUUAGAAUUUUCCCCGGAUUGGAAAGCUCCUCCCUUGCCGAGAAGUCCUUUCCGCCUUUUUAUUGGGGUUCUAUCUGCAACUAACCAUUUUGCCGAACGGAUGGCUGUAAGAAAGACAUGGAUGCAACAUUCAGCUAUUAAAUCUUCAGAUGUGGUGGCCCGCUUCUUUGUUGCUCUUAAUCCAAGAAGCGAAGUGAAUGCAAUGCUGAAGAGGGAGGCGGAGUAUUUUGGAGAUAUUGUGAUUCUGCCAUUUAUGGAUCACUAUGAGCUUGUAGUCCUCAAGACAAUUGCCAUAUGUGAAUUCGGGGUUCAGAAUGUGACAGUUCCAUACAUAAUGAAAUGUGAUGACGACAAUUUCGUGAGACUAGAACCAAUCUUGAAAGAAAUUGAUGGAGUCCCUCCCGGAAAGCCCCUUUAUAUGGGCAAUUUAAAUCUCCGGCAUCGCCCUCUGAGGACCGGAAAAUGGGCAGUAACUUGGGAGGAAUGGCCAGAAAAUGUGUAUCCUCCUUAUGCCAAUGGACCUGGAUAUAUAAUCUCCAGAAACGUUGCUGAAUACAUAAUUUCUCAGAAUUCAAAACAAAAGCUAAGGCUUUUCAAGAUGGAAGAUGUGAGCAUGGGAAUGUGGGUGGAGCAAUUCAACGCCUCGAGGACUGUUCAAUACACUCAUAGUUGGAAGUUUUGUCAAUACGGUUGCACGUUAAACUAUUACACCGCUCAUUACCAGUCUCCUAGACAGAUGAUGUGCCUUUGGGAGAAGUUGUCAAGAGGUCGUGUCCAGUGCUGCAAUUUCAGAUGACAAGAACAAGGAUCAUCAGCCCGGUUCGAUGUUAUACACCAUUACAGGCUCUGCAUGCUAGACCCUUUCGUUUCAAGAACUAAUGCAGAAUCUGGACGUGAAGAACAUGAAAGACGACUGAAUUCGACCACGGAAAACGAAAUUACAGGAGAUAGAGAGGUGCAAACACAGAAUUACAGGUUGAGGGUUUCUCCUUCACGGUCAUAGCGAAGAACGGGGCAGGUCAUACCAAGAUAGGAUCUGAAGAACAGUGUAUUGCCUCUUAAACCCAACUUCCGAAAUGUGCAAAAGGACCGAACCUUUUCGUCCUUUCUGAUUCCCGAAGCUGUCGAAGUUGUUUGGGAGCCGAGAAAGUCGGGGGAAAAAAAAGCUUUUUUAGAUGGUGGUGGUAAGAAAACUGAAGCAUGUGCAUUGGGUUAGUUCCAUGUCUCAGGCAAAUCCACGGAUUCUCCAUCCGCCAUGGGUAAGCUUCUCAUCUUCUACAUCGUCUCCCUUCCAUCUCCAACUCCCAUGUCCUACGCCUACAAGUUGUUCUCCGGAAUCUGAAAACCCUAACAACGUCUUCACGUUAUAUAAGCCCUUGAUGCCGAGAGCAGUACCUCGAGAUGCGAACUCUGGUUUCGCCGAACCAGAGAUUCAUAUAUACACAGCG